RNAcentral lists this ribosomal RNA (503 nucleotides) under uncultured bacterium. Its description in RNAcentral is "bacterial SSU rRNA". It matches the Rfam family "Bacterial small subunit ribosomal RNA", at positions 8 to 507 of the family's 1533-position model. The record is from RNAcentral.
AGAGUUUGAUCCUGGCUCAGAUUGAACGCUGGCGGAAUGCUUUACACAUGCAAGUCGAGCGGCAGCGCGGGGGGCAACCCUGGCGGCGAGCGGCGAACGGGUGAGUAACAUAUCGGAACGUACCCCGUCGUGGGGGAUAACACAGCGAAAGCUGUGCUAAUACCGCAUACGACCUGAGGGUGAAAGCGGGGGAUCGCAAGACCUCGCGCGAUGGGAGCGGCCGAUAUCGGAUUAGCUUGUUGGUGAGGUAAAGGCUCACCAAGGCGACGAUCCGUAGCUGGUCUGAGAGGACGACCAGCCACACUGGAACUGAGACACGGUCCAGACUCCUACGGGAGGCAGCAGUGGGAAUUUUGGACAAUGGGGCAACCCUGAUCCAGCCAUUCCGCGUGAGUGAAGAAGGCCUUCGGGUUGUAAAGCUCUUUCAGCAGGAACGAAACGGUGGCUACUAAUACUAGCUACUAAUGACGGUACCUGAAGAAGAAGCACCGGCUAACUACGUG